CGUUCAUCCGUCACAUUUUCAAUCUAGCUAGGCAUCGACACGAAAUUGUUCCCAUAACGAAAACAUAUUUAUUUAGUUUGCCCAAAAUAUGUUUGUUCUUUUUUAUUUUACCGUUGGUGAACCUGGUAAAGGGACAAUUAGUUCAGUUAAUAAGAGUCCAAUUCUGACAGACGAUGAAAAGGAAGAUGUGAUUGCAACAUUAUACAAGAAAUAUGGGUUAGAGAAAGAACCAAACUAGUGGUCAGGUGGCCCAAAGAUUUAAAUUCAGUAAUCUGUGGAAGAGUUUACGAUAAAACAAUCUUAUUGAUUGUUAUCACAGACCUGGAGUUGCUGUGGCAAUAUCGAGUAACCAAGAAAUUCCUCACCUCAGACAGCAGCUCAUUCUUGAUAAAUCUUCAGAAAAGAAGAAUGCAAAUGAGCUACGUGGCACAAAACAGAAGACAAGAAGGAGUCUUGUGUAUCCUGAAGGCGACAACACUCAAGAAGCAUCAUUUCCAGUAAUAGCUAAGAAAAGCAAACCCAACCCUGC
Long non-coding RNA from Daphnia pulicaria, 529 nucleotides. RefSeq lists it as uncharacterized. NCBI's taxonomy places the organism in Eukaryota, Metazoa, Arthropoda, Branchiopoda, Diplostraca, Daphniidae. The transcript has 3 exons. The record is from RefSeq and is a predicted model, not a curated record.